CCUACGGGAGGCAGCAGUGGGGAAUAUUGGACAAUGGGGGAAACCCUGAUCCAGCAAUGCCGCGUGUGUGAAGAAGGCCUGCGGGUUGUAAAGCACUUUCAGUGGGGAGGAGAGGGCCGAUGUUAACAGCAUCGGUCUAAGACGUUACCCACAGAAGAAGCACCGGCUAACUCUGUGCCAGCAGCCGCGGUAAUA
RNAcentral lists this ribosomal RNA (195 nucleotides) under uncultured bacterium. Its description in RNAcentral is "partial 16S ribosomal RNA". It matches the Rfam family "Bacterial small subunit ribosomal RNA", at positions 338 to 525 of the family's 1533-position model. The record is from RNAcentral.